Molecule: ribosomal RNA, 468 nt
Filed under: uncultured bacterium
Lineage: Bacteria
Description: partial 16S ribosomal RNA
Rfam family: Bacterial small subunit ribosomal RNA
Source: RNAcentral
GACGAACGCUGGCGGCGUGCUUAACACAUGCAAGUCGAACGGAAAGGCCCUGCUUUUGUUGGGUGCUCGAGUGGCGAACGGGUGAGUAACACGUGAGUAACCUGCCCUUGACUUUGUGAUAACUCCAGGAAACUGGGGCUAAUACCGGAUAGGAGCUCCUGCUGCAUGGUGUGGGUUGGAAAGUUUCGGCGGUUGGGGAUGUACUCGCGGCUUAUCAGCUUGUUGGUGUGGUAGUUGCUUACCAAGGCUUUGACGGGUAGCCGGCCUGAGAGGGUGACCGGCCACAUUGGGACUGAGAGACGGCCCAGAAUCCUACGGGAGGCAGUAGUGGGGAAUAUUGCACAAUGGGGGGAAGCCUGAUGCAGAAACGCCGCGUGCGGGAUAACGGCCUUCGGGUUGUAAACCACUUUCGACUGUGACGAAGCGUGAGUGACGGUAAUGGGUAAAGAAGCACCGGCUAACUACGUG